CCCACCUCUGUCUGAGGCUGGGCAUAACAGUCUUAUGUACAAAGUUAGUCUGCCUCUUACUACUGGUCUUCCAGCCCCCAACACCAGUGUGGUCUUCAGUCUUAGUUCAUCAUAAUGAAGUUGGAUUUGCAGUGAGCUGAAACGCAGAAGCAAGCAAGUCAGGAAACACUCACCAGCCUGAUUUAUACUUCCGUGUCGAAUCUAUGCAGAGGCUACGGCAUAGCCUGACACGCACCUCCCCAGAAAUCAGCACAGAGGUCUAUUGAGGCGGCUCACCGAUGAACUCUGCCACGGGGUCGUGCUCUCCCUCGGCUCGGAUGGUGCCUGCGAUGCUGUCGUUCUCCAGGAUGGGCAGGAAUAGCUGCACAAAGUCCGAGCAGAGGCUGUGCACGGUCUCAGUGGCCUUGGACGUGGACUUGAGCUCGUCCUUGUUGAUGUUCAUGCGCUUGUUCUGGGAGCCAAACAGAGAGGAGGGGAGAGGAGAGAGGGAGACAGGAAGACCUGAACAGCCCAUAACCAGAGAUCUGCAUCCAGCCACUUCAGAACUCAAGUGCCUUGUGUAAGUCACCUAUUAGCUAUUGUCCACUCCACACACCUGAUUUCCAAGACUCAAGUAGGCCACUGAAGACCACCUGCGGACACUGCAGCCCUCCCGGACUACAGUUUAAGGGGUCUGGUAUAAUUACCCAGUCAAGGGCCAGCACAAGAAUGGUAGGACUAUUGGCAAUUGUGCUAAAUUGAGCUCAAUAAAAAAAAACAAUCAGA
This is a long non-coding RNA of Conger conger (European conger), 765 nucleotides long. RefSeq lists it as uncharacterized. The transcript is spliced from 3 exons. The record is from RefSeq and is a predicted model, not a curated record. NCBI's taxonomy places the organism in Eukaryota, Metazoa, Chordata, Actinopteri, Anguilliformes, Congridae.